RNAcentral lists this ribosomal RNA (468 nucleotides) under uncultured bacterium. Its description in RNAcentral is "partial 16S ribosomal RNA". It matches the Rfam family "Bacterial small subunit ribosomal RNA", at positions 28 to 507 of the family's 1533-position model. The record is from RNAcentral.
GACGAACGCUGGCGGCGUGCUUAACACAUGCAAGUCGAACGGAAAGGCCCUGCUUUUGUGGGGUGCUCGAGUGGCGAACGGGUGAGUAACACGUGAGUAACCUGCCCUUGACUUUGGGAUAACUUCAGGAAACUGGGGCUAAUACCGGAUAGGAGCUCCUGCUGCAUGGUGGGGGUUGGAAAGUUUCGGCGGUUGGGGAUGGACUCGCGGCUUAUCAGCUUGUUGGUGGGGUAGGGGAUGACCAAGGCUUUGACGGGUAGCCGACCUGAGAGGGUGACCGGCCACAUUGCGACUGAGAUACGGCCCAGACGCCUACGGGAGGCAGCAGUGGGGAAUAUUGCAGAAUGGGCGGAAGCCUGAUGCAGCAACGCCGCGUGCGUGAUGACGGCCUUCUGGUUGUAAACCGCUUUCGCCUGUGACGAAGCGUGAGUGACGGUAAUGGGUAAAGAAGCACCGGCUAACUACGUG